UUACUGACUUCAAGCUUAUCAUGAAAAUAAAGCUUCAUUUUUGCAAGAUUAACAUUUUAUUAGCUAUAGCUAUAAGACAUAUAACACCAUUACCUACAAAAUUCUAAAGAUAUGACCUGCAUAGAGAGCCAUGGAAUGUCACAUGGUAACUAUGAGCAGGCUACAUAUUUUCCUCCAAUAGAAAACUCUGAAAAAGAAUAGUAGUGAAGGAAGUCAUAAAGGAAUUGUAUAAUAGGAAGAUAAGACAGGUUGGUCAUUUGACAAGGUUAAGAUAUGACAAGUGGACAACCAAACCAUUCUAUGAUUAUCUUGUAAUGUUGGGAGAAAGUGGGAAUGGCAUCCAGCACAUUGGAUGUAUCCCUUAUGGUAAACUUUUGGAAGAAUACAAAUAAAGACUCACACCAGUUGAGAAGAGCAAGAUUCAAAUGAAUGAAAUAAUGGAGAAGUGAAUAUUUGGAUACAAAGCUCAUACAAACAGAAUAUUUGUCACAUCCCCAGAGAAAAAGAGGAUACUUGUGGUCCCAGGCUUUCUUCAGAGAGAGGUCCUGAAGGAAGAGAAGGACUUUGAGAAGAAAGAGAAGCUGGUAAGGAAAAUGAAGUGCAGAGAUUCUGGGUAACAUGACAGAAUGUGGACUCAAAUUCAGAUCCUUCAACCAAGAGAUCAGUGUUCUUUUCAGAAAAUUUCCAGUAGAGAGUUACUAGCAAAGUACUGCUUUGGGUAAUAAAAAUGUUACUAUAUGUCUCUAGUACUCUCCACUGCCUCUGCCUGGUUCUUCCUGUAUACUUUUCUUACUGCCCCAAUUUUCUCCUUUUUGUGAGGGGAACUUGGUAAUCCCUUACAUCUCUGCAUGUUUUGCAUUUUGUAGCUGUGGUCUUUAAGUUUGAGCUUUAAUUUCUCUCCUUUGCUCCAUUAAUAAUUUUCCUGAUGCAAAAGUGUUAUA
Long non-coding RNA from Sarcophilus harrisii (Tasmanian devil), 941 nucleotides. RefSeq lists it as uncharacterized. NCBI's taxonomy places the organism in Eukaryota, Metazoa, Chordata, Mammalia, Dasyuromorphia, Dasyuridae. The transcript is spliced from 4 exons. The record is from RefSeq and is a predicted model, not a curated record.